Molecule: ribosomal RNA, 503 nt
Filed under: uncultured bacterium
Lineage: Bacteria
Description: partial 16S ribosomal RNA
Rfam family: Bacterial small subunit ribosomal RNA
Source: RNAcentral
AUUGAACGCUGGCGGCAGGCUUAACACAUGCAAGUCGAGCGGGGUGAUGGUGCUUGCACUAUCACUUAGCGGCGGACGGGUGAGUAAUGCUUAGGAAUCUGUCUAUUAGUGGGGGACAACAUCUCGAAAGGGAUGCUAAUACCGCAUACGUCCUACGGGAGAAAGCAGGGGAUCACUUGUGACCUUGCGCUAAUAGAUGAGCCUAAGUCGGAUUAGCUAGUUGGUGGGGUAAAGGCCUACCAAGGCGACGAUCUGUAGCGGGUCUGAGAGGAUGGCCCGCCACACUGGGGCUGAGACACGGCCCAGACUCCUACGGGAGGCAGCAGUGGGGAAUAUUGGACAAUGGGGGGAACCCUGAUCCAGCCAUGCCGGGUGUGUGAAGAAGGCCUUAUGGUUGUAAAGCACUUUAAGCGAGGAGGAGGCUCUUUUGGUUAAUACCCAAGAUGAGUGGACGUUACUCGCAGAAUAAGCACCGGCUAACUCUGUGCCAGCAGCCGCCGUAA